This 1441-nucleotide long non-coding RNA is filed under the name Anas platyrhynchos platyrhynchos (common mallard). RNAcentral describes it as "lncRNA (ENSAPLG00000025781.1)". Lineage: Eukaryota; Metazoa; Chordata; Aves; Anseriformes; Anatidae. The record is from RNAcentral.
GGGGAGCAUGGAUUUUGUUUGUUUUUUGUUUUGUUGCUUUUUUAAAAACGUUAAGUAAUGUGCCUUAGGAAGUAUCUGAAACUGAGCAUUUGAGGAUUUUUAUUUGAGCAUUUGAUUUCUCAAAAAGCUUUACAGCAUACCACUACUCUAUUCCUAGCAAACACUGUGCAACUGUUGCUAUCAGUAAACUAUCAAGUUAUUUAAGUAACCUUUUUAAUCCAGUCAUUAGCUUUGAUGAACUCGCAUCUUUCUUCAUACAGAAAGUCUGUAAAGGAAGGAGACAAAAUUAUACUUGUCUGUUGAAGUCUGUCUUUGAAUGCUCUUUGCAUAGAUACCAUCCAAGUGCUUCUGUUUGUGUAGUUACUUAGAUUACAGUUCUAUCUUUAUGUUCCUUAAAAUUGAAGGCGAUGAAUACAGGAGGGAAUGAAGAGAGAGGACAUUACAGCUCCUGUUUCUGUUAUUUAUUUUAUUUUUUUUUCAGCUUUUGAAGGAUUACAGAAGCAGUAAAUAUUUCAUUUUGAAAUGUUUUCUCUCUUCUAGCUCUGGGGAAGACUUCCUCAGAUAGCUUUUACUUUCUUUCCAGUCCAUGGGAUCUAAGACUUCUGUGAUGAUCAGGCUAUACAAACAGAACCUUUGGACUGGCAAAUUGCACCCAUCAUUGUUGGGGUGCAUCUGGAGACUGAAGCAGAAACAGGCAAGAACACUGAGUGAAAAUAAGCACUCCAGAAAAGAUAAUGGGAACUUGAACUGUAUUUUGAGAGCUGUUCACAGUGCAAAAUCAGAAAUAAGAAUGUUAUUUCUUUUUGCCUUUCAGGAUCCUGGAUCUGGAGGUGGGGCAAUGAAAUGUGGAAAACAACUCAGAACGUUGACUUUGAACUCAAGAACUGCUGCUUGAUGGAGAAGGUCAACUUAGAGCAGCAGCAUUCAACCUUCUUCAGUUUAAAGGACUGGGAAUCUCUGAUGUAUCUAGGAGAAUUCAUAGGGGGAAGAAAGAGGAUACUGUGGAAAUUACAGUUUUGGACAUGAACUUGAAGUAGCAAGGUCAGAUCACCAACAAGGGCCCUAAAGAGCUGUAAGAAAACAAUGUGGCAGAAUGUAUGGUAAAAAUAUAAUUUUAGAUCAAUACAAUUUAGAGCAUAUCUAGUUGUAAAUUGUGAUCUUUGGGGAUUUUCCUCCAGUAGUUAAAACAGAACAAAUUAAUUGCAAGAUAGUUUAAAAUGGAAUUACUACAGUUACGUGAUUAGUCUCUGUUGCUCAGUUGCUUGUGGCAGCUGCACAAGAUAGCCAACAAAAUAUUUAUUUAUGCGCAGUUCAGAGAAUUGAAUUUUUCAGUUGGUAUAAUCAUAUAAAGGCAGAUGGGAAUACAGAAGGUUAGAUCAAAAAACAUUGAGAGGAUGGAAAGAUUGAGGGCAAAAAUAAACAAAAUGUAUCAGCCUGCUCA